Molecule: non-coding RNA, 31 nt
Filed under: Mus musculus (house mouse)
Lineage: Eukaryota; Metazoa; Chordata; Mammalia; Rodentia; Muridae
Source: RNAcentral
UGGAUUGUACAAAGAGUCAAACCAAAUGUGU